ACGUUGUCUCAAAACAUUUUAAUUCCAAAGAUAUACACACAAUAUAUUCAUCAAGUGUGACUUUUAGCAGAGCUUUCUUCUCUUUACCCUUUUGUAACUAAAACAUUUCUUUCUAUAGUCACCAGAAAAAAAAAACAUUUCUUUCUACUGAGUUUCAUCCCACUCCACAACCGAAAAUCAUAUGCGAAUAGAACAAUCGCAAACAUUCAUGCAUUGUAUGGUGCAUAUGCCUCAAAGAUUGCCCAAAUUAUCAGAAUUCGGGUAAUAGUUUUAAGCAUCAUUUUUCACCACUAAUCACAGCAAUUGCACGAUCCAAAACCAAAACAGUAACAAAAAGCCGAAAACCCUAAACCUUGAUACCUGAGCCUUGUCAGCGAGCUGAACGACGAGUCGUCCAACGGGAAGAGGAGACUCGUAGGUAUACGAAUAGUUGAUGCACUCGUUGCGCAUGUAGCGCGAGAGAACGCGGCCGUCGGCGGUGAGUCCGGCGAUGGCAACGCCGAUGUGGUCAUCGACUUUGAAGAUCUUCUUCUGGUGAGAAGAGAGCUCGGAGUUGGCCUUGUUGACGCAUGCUAAAACGACGUGCGUUUUGGAUCGGAGGCCAAUUGCGGCGGAACCCUGCUUCACUGCCUCCAUUGGUGCACUUAAGAAAGUGCUAGAAUCUGUUAGGAAACACCGACAGCAGUACCGUAACAGGCGUUUCUCAGUACCUGUGCCGGUGGUAGCCUUGGUUGGGUACACAAAUGCUGGUAAAAGUACCCUUUUAAAUCAAUUAACUGGGGCAGAUGUUUUUGCCGAGGAUAAAUUAUUUGCAACUUUAGAUCCAACUACAAGGAGGGUCCAGGAAUACACAGAGCAAGGGACAUAUAUCAAGGCACAUGUGCCCCUUCGUUUUGCAAGAUUGCUGACACCCAUGAGGCAAAUGUGUGUAUCCCAAUCUUAACUUCUUAAAUGUAUAUAAUUUGGUAGUUUAUAAAGUUAUAAAUAUCUUUUGUAUCAUAAAUGUCACUUUAAAGAUGUACAUAUUUAUGUAAUUCUUGUAAUCAUACUCCCUUUCCCUUUAAAAAUGGAGAUACAUAUAUGACUAAGGAACUAUGGGAAUGCAAGUUUUGCAAAAUGUGAUUGCAACUACAUUUGUCAUACAUGAUUCCAUUCCUUUCUUUGUUUUCAAACAUUAAGAUGGCAUAUUCUGCAAAAUUCCUGAGAUACAUCAGCAAUAUCUAUUCCAUUCAAACAGAAAUGUUUUAUGCUCAUCAGCAAUAACCAAUAGCACAUUAGCAGAGAUGUGGUGUGCUUUAUAUAUAUAUAAAAAAAAAAACUUGAUGUUUCAAAGGUACUCAGAGUAAUGCUACCAACAUUUGAAAUUUGAUUACAUUUUAUUGUGAAAUAUAUAAAGUUUGAUUCAAUAAUUGUAUAAUUAUGUUGCUUAUGUAUCAUGAUUUUAGUGAUCAAAUAUUGUAUUAA
This is a non-coding RNA of Arachis ipaensis, 1464 nucleotides long. NCBI's taxonomy places the organism in Eukaryota, Viridiplantae, Streptophyta, Magnoliopsida, Fabales, Fabaceae. The record is from RefSeq and is a predicted model, not a curated record.